GGGCGCCUUUUUGAUUUUUUUACUCAAAAAGGUAAGCGUGGAAAGGUGCGGUAAGAGCGCACCGCUUUUUUGGCGACAAAAAAGGCUAUGUAAACCCCGUUCGGAGCAAGGUCGAAUAAGCAGCUAUGGGACUGCCCGUCCCGCUGCGGGUACGACCGCGUGAGCUUUUUGGCAACAAAAAGCCAAGAUAGAUGGCGGCAUAACACAGAACCCGGCUUAUGAUUUACCUAUAUUU
RNAcentral lists this RNase P RNA (235 nucleotides) under Clostridiales bacterium. RNAcentral describes it as "partial RNase P RNA component class A". It matches the Rfam family "Bacterial RNase P class A", at positions 124 to 367 of the family's 367-position model. From Rfam's summary of the family: Ribonuclease P (RNase P) is a ubiquitous endoribonuclease, found in archaea, bacteria and eukarya as well as chloroplasts and mitochondria. Lineage: Bacteria; Bacillati; Bacillota; Clostridia; Eubacteriales. The record is from RNAcentral.